UCCCCGUUAUCCGAGGCGGUUUCGCUAGAGUGCCCAACUUAAUGAUGGCAACUAGAGAUAAGGGUUGCGCUCGUUGCGGGACUUAACCCAACAUCUCACGACACGAGCUGACGACAGCCAUGCAGCACCUAUAUAGCAGUCUAUUGCUAGAAAACGAUGUUUCCACCGCGGUCCACUACAUUUCGAGCCCAGGUAAGGUUCUUCGCGUUGCGUCGAAUUAAACCACAUGCUCCACCGCUUGUGCGGGCCCCCGUCAAUUCCUUUGAGUUUCAGUCUUGCGACCGUACUCCCCAGGCGGAUCGCUUAACGCGUUAGCUUCGGCACGACGGGAUUGGGUACCCGACACACCAAGCGAUCAUCGUUUAGGGCUAGGACUAC
Molecule: unclassified non-coding RNA, 378 nt
Filed under: uncultured Terriglobales bacterium
Lineage: Bacteria; Pseudomonadati; Acidobacteriota; Terriglobia; Terriglobales
Description: uncultured Acidobacteriales bacterium contains 16S-23S intergenic spacer region
Source: RNAcentral